AACCUCCGCAAUGUGAGAAAUCGCGACGGGGGGAUCCCAAGUGCCAUUCUUAACGGGAUGGCUUUUCAUUAGUGUAAAGAGCUUUUGGAAUAAGGGCUGGGCAAGACCGGUGCCAGCCGCCGCGGUAACACCGGCAGCUCUAGUGGUAGCAGUUUUUAUUGGGCCUAAAGCGUCCGUAGCCGGUUUAAUAAGUCUCUGGUGAAAUCCUGUAGCUUAACUGUGGGAAUUGCUGGAGAUACUAUUAGACUUGAGACCGGGAGAGGUUAGAGGUACUCCCAGGGUAGAGGUGAAAUUCUGUAAUCCUGGGAGGACCGCCUGUUGCGAAGGCGUCUAACUGGAACGGUUCUGACGGUGAGGGACGAAAGUUAGGGGCGCGAACCGGAUUAGAUACCCGGGUAGUCCUAACUGUAAACGAUGCGGACUUGGUGUUGGGGUGGCUUUGAGCUGUUCCAGUGCCGAAGGGAAGCUGUUAAGUCCGCCGCCUGGGAAGUACGGUCGCAAGACUGAAACUUAAAGGAAUU
RNAcentral lists this ribosomal RNA (521 nucleotides) under uncultured bacterium. RNAcentral describes it as "bacterial SSU rRNA". It matches the Rfam family "Archaeal small subunit ribosomal RNA", at positions 345 to 866 of the family's 1478-position model. The record is from RNAcentral.